CCUANGGGGGGCUGCAGUAACGAAUCUUCCGCAAUGCACGAAAGUGUGACGGAGCGACGCCGCGUGUGGGAUGAAGUCCUUCGGGAUGUAAACCACUGUCAGGGGUUAGAAAGUUCUGAUCAACCCCAGAGGAAGAGGCGGCUAACUCUGUGCCAGCAGCCGCGGUAAUACAGAGGCCUCGAGCGUUAGGCGGAAUCACUGGGCUUAAAGCGUGUGUAGGCGGAUUGCUAAGUACCUUGUGAAAUCCCACGGCUUAACCGUGGAACGGCUGGGUAUACUGGCUGUCUUGAGCCACUUAGGGGCGACCGGAACAAAUGGUGGAGCGGUGAAAUGCGUAGAUAUCAUUUGGAACGCCAAUGGUGAAAACAGGUCGCUGGGAGUGUGCUGACGCUGAGACACGAAAGCCAGGGGAGCAAACGGGAUUAGAUACCCGGNUANUC
This 440-nucleotide ribosomal RNA is filed under the name uncultured bacterium. Its description in RNAcentral is "bacterial SSU rRNA". It matches the Rfam family "Bacterial small subunit ribosomal RNA", at positions 338 to 795 of the family's 1533-position model. The record is from RNAcentral.